GAUUGACGUGUGUGACACACCCAGAUCUAGAGACGACGUCGUGACGUCUAUUAUGCUUGACAAGAAAAUCUCAAGAACAGAGGACCUGUUAAUGGAAAAAAUGAAUGCGUGAUAGACUGGACCAGAUGCCUUUUCAAAGUCAAGUGCUGAGUUAACUCGUCCUUCACUGAAAAAUGUCACAUUACCCAAGUACACAGGAGUGAAGCUUUUGCCGUCGUAUAAUUUUCCCAUAAAAUGGGAACAUUUAAGUGUAGAGCGGUGGAAUUGUGUGUCAAUGAAUGGCCCUGUUAAUAGUGAUAUCACUCCCUGGAACAAAAGGAUGGAAGGCUGAACGAGAAUAGAGGAGUGGAGGUGAGUCCAUGGAGCGUGUACCGUCGGCCAUUUCCGUCCCCUCCGUUCGGGUCAUGCACUGGCCCAUCGAGAGAGCGCGUACAUGACUGACAAUACCCGCAAGACAAACGGUUCCACUCCAGCGCAAACCGCGCUCAGACAGAUACGUGCAAAAAAAAUAAUAGUUAUUAAAUUAAUUGCGGUCGUAAUCUCGUAAAAUAUGUGUCAGAAAAUUAUACGCUGUUCGAUUAACACAUAACACGGAUGUCAAAUAUGUAAUAAAAUCCUGAUCAAUAAAACAAUAACCAUGUUGUUAAAAGCAGCCGUUGAAAGGUGUUGCCAGCGCUGUGUUUCAGGGGUGAGCACCCCUUUUAAUAUAAACGGAUUUCAUCUUUCCACCGUGUCACCUAAAUCACCACAAUGUUUGUGUAUACAAUUAUAAUAAGUUAA
Puntigrus tetrazona (Sumatra barb) is the source of this 780-nucleotide long non-coding RNA. RefSeq lists it as uncharacterized. NCBI's taxonomy places the organism in Eukaryota, Metazoa, Chordata, Actinopteri, Cypriniformes, Cyprinidae. The transcript has 3 exons. The record is from RefSeq and is a predicted model, not a curated record.